RNAcentral lists this ribosomal RNA (253 nucleotides) under uncultured bacterium. RNAcentral's name for it is "partial 16S ribosomal RNA". It matches the Rfam family "Bacterial small subunit ribosomal RNA", at positions 524 to 776 of the family's 1533-position model. The record is from RNAcentral.
UACGUAGGUGGCGAGCGUUGUCCGGAAUUACUGGGUGUAAAGGGCGAGUAGGCGGGGAUAGAAGUCAUGUGUGAAAUACCGUAAGAAGAAUACGGAAAUGCAUGUGAAACUAGAUCUCUUGAGUGUUGGAGAGGAAAGCGGAAUUCCUAGUGUAGCGGUGAAAUGCGUAGAUAUUAGGAGGAACACCAGUGGCGAAGGCGGCUUUCUGGACAAAAACUGACGCUGAGGCGCGAAAGCGUGGGGAGCAAACAGG